This 227-nucleotide ribosomal RNA is filed under the name uncultured bacterium. RNAcentral's name for it is "partial 16S ribosomal RNA". It matches the Rfam family "Bacterial small subunit ribosomal RNA", at positions 524 to 751 of the family's 1533-position model. The record is from RNAcentral.
UACAGAGGGUGCAAACGUUGUUCGGAAUUACUGGGCGUAAAGCGUGUGUAGGCGGCCUCGUAGGUCGGAUGUGAAAGCUCUCGGCUCAACCGGGAAAGUGCAUUCGAAACCACAAGGCUUGAGUGUCGGAGAGGAAGGCGGAAUUGUCGGUGUAGAGGUGAAAUUCGUAGAUAUCGACAGGAACACCUGCGGCGAAAGCGGCCUCUGGACGAACACUGACGCUGAGA